RNAcentral lists this ribosomal RNA (459 nucleotides) under uncultured bacterium. RNAcentral describes it as "partial 16S ribosomal RNA". It matches the Rfam family "Bacterial small subunit ribosomal RNA", at positions 338 to 795 of the family's 1533-position model. The record is from RNAcentral.
CCUACGGGAGGCAGCAGUGAGGAAUAUUGGUCAAUGGGCGGAAGCCUGAACCAGCCAAGCCGCGUGAGGGAAGAAGGUACAGCGUAUCGUAAACCUCUUUUGUCAGGGAACAAAGGCGGGGACUAGUCCCCGGAUGGGGGUUACUGAAGAAAAAGCAUCGGCUAACUCCCUGCCAGCAGCCGCGGUAAUACGGAGGAUGCGAGCGUUAUCCGGAUUUAUUGGGUUUAAAGGGUGCGCAGGCGGCCUGUUAAGUCAGCGGUAAAAGGCCGGGGCGCAACCCCGGCGAGCCGUUGAAACUGGCGGGCUGGAGUUGGCGAGAAGUACGCGGAAUGCGCGGUGUAGCGGUGAAAUGCUUAGAUAUCGCGCAGAACCCCGAUUGCGAAGGCAGCGUACCGGCUCCAAACUGACGCUGAGGCACGAAAGCGUGGGUAUCGAACAGGAUUAGAUACCCCUGUAGUC